This 670-nucleotide ribosomal RNA is filed under the name uncultured bacterium. RNAcentral's name for it is "bacterial SSU rRNA". It matches the Rfam family "Bacterial small subunit ribosomal RNA", at positions 229 to 1520 of the family's 1533-position model. The record is from RNAcentral.
AUUCGCGGCCUAUCAGCUUGUUGGCGGGGUAACGGCCCACCAAGGCGACGACGGGUAGCCGGCCUGAGAGGGCGACCGGCCACACUGGAACUGAGACACGGUCCAGACUCCUACGGGAGGCAGCAGUGGGGAAUAUUGCACAAUGGGCGAAAGCCUGAUGCAGCAACGCCGCGUGGGGGAUGAAGGCCUUCGGGUUGUAAACCCCUUUCAGUAGGGAAGAAGCGAAAGUGACGGUACCUGCAGAAGAAGCGCCGGCUAACUACGUGCCAGCAGCCGCGGUAAUACGUAGGGCGCAAGCGUUGUCCGGAAUUAUUGGGCGUAAAGAGCUCGUAGGCGGUUUGUCGCGUCUGCUGUGAAAACCCGAGGCUCAACCUCGGGCCUGCAGUGGGUACGGGCGGACUAGAGUGUGGUAGGGGAGAUUGGAAUUCCUGGUGUAGCGGUAAAAUGCGCAGAUAUCAGGAGGAACACCUAUGGCGAAGGCAGAUCUCUGGGCCACAACUGACGCUGAGGAGCGAAAGCGUGGGGAGCAAACAGGAUUAGAUACCCUGGUAGUCCACGCCGUAAACGGUGGGCACUAGAUGUGGGGCUCAUUCCACGAGUUCCGCGUCGCAGUUAACGCAUUAAGUGCCCCGCCUGGGGAGUACGGAAUCGUCGACCCUGCCCGGGCACA